This 358-nucleotide ribosomal RNA is filed under the name uncultured bacterium. RNAcentral's name for it is "bacterial SSU rRNA". It matches the Rfam family "Bacterial small subunit ribosomal RNA", at positions 28 to 414 of the family's 1533-position model. The record is from RNAcentral.
GACGAACGCUGGCGGCGUGCUUAACACAUGCAAGUCGAGCGCCCGUAGCAAUACGGGAGCGGCAGACGGGUGAGUAACGCGUGGGAACAUACCCUUCGGUUCGGAAUAACUCAGGGAAACUUGAGCUAAUACCGGAUACGUCCGUGAGGAGAAAGAUUUAUCGCCGAAGGAUUGGCCCGCGUAAGAUUAGCUAGUUGGUGAGGUAACGGCUCACCAAGGCUAUGAUCUUUAGCNGUUCUGAGAGGAAGAUCAGCCACACUGGGACUGAGACACGGCCCAGACUCCUACGGGAGGCAGCAGUGGGGAUUUUGCACAAUGGACGAAAGUCUGAUGCAGUGACGCCGCGUGGGGAUGACGG